This 28-nucleotide non-coding RNA is filed under the name Mus musculus (house mouse). Lineage: Eukaryota; Metazoa; Chordata; Mammalia; Rodentia; Muridae. The record is from RNAcentral.
UACCUGAAUGGUAGCUUCCUUCCCAGUG